CCUCCGCCAUCAGUCGUGCAGGAAAAGUUAGGGAAAGAAAAGGAUUGAUAGCCCUUUGUAGACAGGAGAAAAAGGUGCCCACGAGAGAGUUGCCAUCACCUAACGCAUAGUGCAACUUGAAAAUGUGCUCAUAGAAUGUUGCCCACGAGAGAGUUGCGAUCACCAUGCCAGCAGGGCGACCAUCACCUAACACUGUUUUGGUGUUAUGCUUGCGAGCUCCGCCAUCAGUCGUGAAGGAAAAGUUAGGGAAAGAAAAGGAUUGAUAGCCCUUUGUAGACAGGAGAAAAAGGUGCCCACGAGAGAGUUGCCAUCACCUAACGCAUGGUGCAACUUGAAAAUGUGCUCAUAGAAUGUUGCCCACGAGAGAGUUGCGAUCACCAUGCCAGCAGGGCGACCAUCACCUAACACUGUUUUGGUGUUAUGCUUGCGAGUGAGUACACACACACACACAUACAUGUAUAUUUAUAUGUAAUGGAGUGAGGUUAAUUACUGAGGUUUUUUCGCAUGGUGUGGUUCAAUUGAACCCCUUGUUUUACUCAGGUAGCCUGCAUCUAAUAAACUCUUAUUUCCUUUU
This is a long non-coding RNA of Malus domestica (apple), 574 nucleotides long. RefSeq lists it as uncharacterized. Lineage: Eukaryota; Viridiplantae; Streptophyta; Magnoliopsida; Rosales; Rosaceae. The record is from RefSeq and is a predicted model, not a curated record.